RNAcentral lists this ribosomal RNA (442 nucleotides) under uncultured bacterium. Its description in RNAcentral is "partial 16S ribosomal RNA". It matches the Rfam family "Bacterial small subunit ribosomal RNA", at positions 338 to 795 of the family's 1533-position model. The record is from RNAcentral.
CCUACGGGUGGCUGCAGUGGGGAAUAUUGGGCAAUGGGCGCAAGCCUGACCCAGCAACGCCGCGUGAAGGAAGAAGGCUUUCGGGUUGUAAACUUCUUUUAAGAGGGAAGAGUAGAAGACGGUACAUCUUGUAUAAGCCACGGAUAACUACGUGCCAGCAGCCGCGGUAAUACGUAGGUUGCAAGCGUUGUCCGGAAUUACUGGGUGUAAAGUGCGUGUAGGCGGGCCGGCAAGUCAGAUGUGAAAUCCCAUGGCUUAACCUUGGAACUGCAUUUGAAACUGUUAGUAUUGAGUAUCGGAGAGGCAGGUGGAAUUCCUAGUGUAGCGGUGAAAUGCGUAGAGAUUAGGAGGAACACCAGUGGCGAAGGCGGCCUGCUGGACGACAACUGACGGUGAGGCGCGAAAGCGUGGGGAGCAAACAGGAUUAGAUACCCCAGUAGUC